This 397-nucleotide ribosomal RNA is filed under the name uncultured bacterium. RNAcentral describes it as "partial 16S ribosomal RNA". It matches the Rfam family "Bacterial small subunit ribosomal RNA", at positions 523 to 918 of the family's 1533-position model. The record is from RNAcentral.
AUACGUAGGUGACAAGCGUUAUCCGGAUUUACUGGGCGUAAAGGGCGUGUAGGCGGUCUUGCAAGUCAGAAGUGAAAUUCCUGAGCUCAACUCGGGCGCUGCUUCUGAAACUGCCGGACUUGAGUGCUGGAGGGGAUAGCGGAAUUCCUAGUGGAGCGGUAAAAUGCGCAGAUAUUAGGAAGAACACCGGUGGCGAAGGCGGCUAUCUGGACAGAAACUGACGCUGAGGCCCGAAAGCGGGGGGAGCAAACAGGAUUAAAUACCCUGGUAGGCCACGCCGUAAACGAUGAAUACUAGGUGUUGGGGGUAUCGACUCCCUCUGUGCCGCAGUUAACACAAUAAGUAUUCCGCCUGGGGAGUACGGCCGCAAGGUUGAAACUCAAAUGAAUUGGCGGGG